AAAAAUUAUUAUACUUUUGUAUACAUAAAUUACAUUAAAAGAAAAGAAUUCCUUGAUAUAGGAACCAUAAAAAGAAUCACAAGUGAAUUGUUGCAACUUGUUUGCUUGUGCUUUUCAAAGGCAGCUAUCUCAUAAAUUUCCUUCAUCCCAACCAGCCUUCACUAUGUAUAUUGUAGCUGGUAUGUUUCAAUAUUAUCUGCCUUACCCUGAGGCUCAGUCUUGGAAGUUUCAUCACCAUACAUCACGCAGAUACCUGCCGGUCGUUUGUAGAUUCUUCACCAUGCUCUCAGCUUUCGAACUAUCGAGAGAUCCCUGCUCUUGCACAAUGGUGUGAAGCGUUCUGUGGACAUCUCUAGCCAUGCCUUUGGCAUCACCGCAAACAUAUAUAUAUCCUCCCUGAGAAAUUAUGUUCCAGAUUUCUGAAGCCUUCUCCAACAUUUUAUGCUGCACAUAUUGCUUGGUAGGUCCCUCACGUGAAAAAGCAACAAUCAACUCAGAAAGUGCACCACUUUCAACAAAGUUGUUGAGCUCAUCUUUAUAGAUGUAAUCCAUCUUACUGUUCCUGCAACCAAAGAAUAAUAUAGAGGAUCCCAAUUCUGCUCC
Molecule: unclassified non-coding RNA, 603 nt
Filed under: Hevea brasiliensis (rubber tree)
Lineage: Eukaryota; Viridiplantae; Streptophyta; Magnoliopsida; Malpighiales; Euphorbiaceae
Source: RNAcentral